RNAcentral lists this ribosomal RNA (1359 nucleotides) under Xylanibacter ruminicola. Its description in RNAcentral is "bacterial LSU rRNA". It matches the Rfam family "Bacterial large subunit ribosomal RNA", at positions 591 to 1948 of the family's 2925-position model. The record is from RNAcentral. Lineage: Bacteria; Pseudomonadati; Bacteroidota; Bacteroidia; Bacteroidales; Prevotellaceae.
UAGUGACGGCGUGCCUUUUGCAUAAUGAACCUACGAGUUACCAUCACCAGCAAGGUUAAGUAUUUAAGAUACGUAAGCCGCAGUGAAAGCGAGCCUGAACAGGGCGUCAAGUUGGUGGGGGUAGACGCGAAACCGAGUGAUCUACACAUGUCCAGGAUGAAGUCCCGGUAACACGGGAUGGAGGUCCGCACCGAUAAGCGUUGAAAAGCUUCCGGAUGAGGUGUGUGUAGGAGUGAAAGGCCAAUCAAACUCGGAGAUAGCUCGUACUCCCCGAAAGGCAUUUAGGUGCCGCGUCGGAUGGUCACCGUGAGAGGUAGAGCGACCGAUAGGUCAAGAGGGCUUCACCGCCUAUCGAGACCUGACGAACUCCGAAUGCUCACGGUCUGCAGUCCGGCAGUAAGGGGGCGGGUGCUAAGGUCCGUCCCCGAGAGGAGAAGAAUCCAGACCGCCGUCUAAGGUCCCGGAAUCCUGUCUGAGUUAGUCUAACGAAGUCUGGUCUCGAUGACAGCUAGGAUGUUGGCUUGGAAGCAGCCAUUCAUUCAAAGAGUGCGUAACAGCUCACUAGUCGAGAGACCGGGCGUGGAUAAUAAUCGGGUAUAAGACAGGUACCGAAGGCGCGGGAUAGCAUUAAAAAGUAUCGGUAGGGGAGCAUUCCAUACGGGUCGAAGCCAGUGGAUGACUGUUGGUGGACUGUAUGGAAAAGCAAAUGUAGGUAUAAGUAACGAUAAGGGGGAUGAGAUCUCCCCCCGCCGAAAGACUAAGGUUUCCCGGGCGAUGUCAAUCACCCCGGGGUUAGUCGGGUCCUAAGCAUAAGCCGAACGGCGAUGGCGAUGGCUGACACGGUUAAUAUUCCGUGACUUCCAUAUGGGGCGAUGUGGUGACGGAGCAGUGACACUGCCGCGGACUGACGGAACAGUCCGUUGAAGAGUGUAGGUUAUGAGGAGUGCAGGCAAAUCCACACUCCGAGCUGAACCUUGAAAGUACGGCAUCCUCUUCGGAGGAAGCUGAUAGUGCAGGUAAUCAGACUCCCGAGAAAAACCGCUAAGCUUAACUCAUGUGGAACCCGUACCGCAAACGGACACACGUAGUCGGGUAGAAUAUACUAAGGCGUUGAGAGAUUCGCGGUUAAGGAACUAGGCAAACUGACCCUGUAACUUCGGGAUAAAGGGUCCUCCCUUGUGGGAGGCGCAGAGAAUAGGUCCAGGCAACUGUUUAGCAAAAACACAGGGCUGUGCAAACUCGAAGGAUGAAGUAUACAGCCUGACACCUGCCCGGUGCUGGAAGGUUAAGAGGAGAUGUCAGUCGCAAGAUGAAGCAUUGAAUUGAAGCCCCAGUAAACGGCGGCCGUAACUAUAACGG